Molecule: ribosomal RNA, 870 nt
Filed under: Staphylococcus epidermidis
Lineage: Bacteria; Bacillati; Bacillota; Bacilli; Caryophanales; Staphylococcaceae
Description: bacterial SSU rRNA
Rfam family: Bacterial small subunit ribosomal RNA
Source: RNAcentral
CGGCUAACUACGUGCCAGCAGCCGCGGUAAUACGUAGGUGGCAAGCGUUAUCCGGAAUUAUUGGGCGUAAAGCGCGCGUAGGCGGUUUUUUAAGUCUGAUGUGAAAGCCCACCGGCUCAACCGUGGAGGGUCAUUGGAAACUGGAAAACUUGAGUGCAGAAGAGGAAAGUGGAAUUCCAUGUGUAGCGGUGAAAUGCGCAGAGAUAUGGAGGAACACCAGUGGCGAAGGCGACUUUCUGGUCUGUAACUGACGCUGAUGUGCGAAAGCGUGGGGAUCAAACAGGAUUAGAUACCCUGGUAGUCCACGCCGUAAACGAUGAGUGCUAAGUGUUAGGGGGUUUCCGCCCCUUAGUGCUGCAGCUAACGCAUUAAGCACUCCGCCUGGGGAGUACGACCGCAAGGUUGAAACUCAAAGGAAUUGACGGGGACCCGCACAAGCGGUGGAGCAUGUGGUUUAAUUUGAAGCAACGCGAAGAACCUUACCAAAUCUUGACAUCCUCUGACCCCUCUAGAGAUAGAGUUUUCCCCUUCGGGGGACAGAGUGACAGGUGGUGCAUGGUUGUCGUCAGCUCGUGUCGUGAGAUGUUGGGUUAAGUCCCGCAACGAGCGCAACCCUUAAGCUUAGUUGCCAUCAUUAAGUUGGGCACUCUAAGUUGACUGCCGGUGACAAACCGGAGGAAGGUGGGGAUGACGUCAAAUCAUCAUGCCCCUUAUGAUUUGGGCUACACACGUGCUACAAUGGACAAUACAAAGGGUAGCGAAACCGCGAGGUCAAGCAAAUCCCAUAAAGUUGUUCUCAGUUCGGAUUGUAGUCUGCAACUCGACUAUAUGAAGCUGGAAUCGCUAGUAAUCGUAGAUCAGCAUGCUACG